AGUGAACGCUGGCGGCGUGCUUAACACAUGCAAGUCGAACGAGAACGGAUUAUAGCUUGCUAUAAUUGUCAGCUAAGUGGCGCACGGGUGAGUAAUGUAUAGGUAAUAUGCCUUUUACUAAGGAAUAACAAAUGGAAACGUUUGCUAAUACCUUAUACUCCUUAUUAACCUAAGUUAAUAAGGGAAAGAUUUAUUGGUAAGAGAUUAGCCUGUAUUGUAUCAGUUAGUUGGUGGGGUAAUGGCUUACCAAGACUAUGACACAUAACUGGUUUGAGAGGAUGAUCAGUCACACUGGAACUGAGACACGGUCCAGACUCCUACGGGAGGCAGCAGUGGGGAAUAUUGCACAAUGGACGGAAGUCUGAUGCAGCAACGCCGCGUGGAGGAUGACACAUUUCGGUGCGUAAACUCCUUUUAUAUGAGAAGAUAAUGACGGUAUUAUAUGAAUAAGCACCGGCUAACUCCGUGCCAGCAGCCGCCGCCG
RNAcentral lists this ribosomal RNA (484 nucleotides) under uncultured bacterium. RNAcentral's name for it is "partial 16S ribosomal RNA". It matches the Rfam family "Bacterial small subunit ribosomal RNA", at positions 29 to 523 of the family's 1533-position model. The record is from RNAcentral.